AAAAGGCAAUGAGGUCAAUCAAAACGACUGUGUGAAGCUGUGGAAAUGCUGACACGCCAUAACAGUAGGAGGAAAAUCCUCUUCUCCUCUCUUCGUGAGUCGUGAUGCAGAAGAAGAAGGAUGAAGUUCAAUCAGACACUCCAGUUCAUGAAUCCAUAUCCCCUCGUGCCUUUAAAUUCUCCCCUUUUCUAUUUUUUAUUAUUUUUUAAAUCCAACCUCUGUCCUAAAGCCAUGUUCCGC
Molecule: long non-coding RNA, 240 nt
Filed under: Manihot esculenta (cassava)
Lineage: Eukaryota; Viridiplantae; Streptophyta; Magnoliopsida; Malpighiales; Euphorbiaceae
Description: long non-coding RNA (MESC_LNC008152)
Source: RNAcentral